AGAUGGCGUAGAUGGUAGGGUGCUGGCUUGUGGUGCUCGAGACCCAGGUUCGAGCCUG
RNAcentral lists this transfer RNA (58 nucleotides) under Pyramimonas parkeae. The record is from RNAcentral. Lineage: Eukaryota; Viridiplantae; Chlorophyta; Pyramimonadophyceae; Pyramimonadales; Pyramimonadaceae.